UGGGGAAUAUUGCACAAUGGGCGCAAGCCUGAUGCAGCCAUGUCGCGUGUAUGAAGAAGGCCUUCGGGUUGUAAAGUACUUUCAGCGAGGAGGAAGGCGAUGCGGUUAAUAACCGUGUCGAUUGACGUUACUCGCAGAAGAAGCACCGGCUAACUCCGUGCCAGCAGCCGCGGUAAUACGGAGGGUGCAAGCGUUAAUCGGAAUUACUGGGCGUAAAGCGCACGCAGGCGGUCUGUCAAGUCGGAUGUGAAAUCCCCGGGCUCAACCUGGGAACUGCAUUCGAAACUGGCAGGCUUGAGUCUUGUAGAGGGGGGUAGAAUUCCAGGUGUAGCGGUGAAAUGCGUAGAGAUCUGGAGGAAUACCGGUGGCGAAGGCGGCCCCCUGGACAAAGACUGACGCUCAGGUGCGAAAGCGUGGGGAGCAAACA
This 427-nucleotide ribosomal RNA is filed under the name uncultured bacterium. Its description in RNAcentral is "partial 16S ribosomal RNA". It matches the Rfam family "Bacterial small subunit ribosomal RNA", at positions 355 to 774 of the family's 1533-position model. The record is from RNAcentral.